Molecule: ribosomal RNA, 216 nt
Filed under: uncultured bacterium
Lineage: Bacteria
Description: partial 16S ribosomal RNA
Rfam family: Bacterial small subunit ribosomal RNA
Source: RNAcentral
CGUCUCAGUUCGGAUUGUAGUCUGCAACUCGACUACAUGAAGUCGGAAUUGCUAGUAAUCGCAGAUCAGCAUGCUGCGGUGAAUACGUUCCCGGGCCUUGUACACACCGCCCGUCACACCAUGAGAGUUGGGGAUACCCGAAGCCUGUGAGCUAACUUUUAGAGGCAGCAGUCGAAGGUAGAAUCAAUGAUUGGGGUGAAGUCGUAACAAGGUAAC